RNAcentral lists this ribosomal RNA (253 nucleotides) under uncultured bacterium. RNAcentral describes it as "partial 16S ribosomal RNA". It matches the Rfam family "Bacterial small subunit ribosomal RNA", at positions 524 to 776 of the family's 1533-position model. The record is from RNAcentral.
UACGGAGGGGGCAAGCGUUAUUCGGAAUUAUUGGGCGUAAAGGGCGCGUAGGCGGCUUGAUAAGUCAAAGGUGAAAUCCCUCGGCUCAACUGAGGAACUGCCUUUGAAACUGUCAGGCUCGAGGCCGGGAGGGGGUAGCGGAAUUCCCAGUGUAGCGGUGAAAUGCGUAGAUAUUGGGAGGAACACCAGUGGCGAAGGCGGCUACCUGGACCGGUUCUGACGCUGAUGCGCGAAAGCGUGGGUAGCAAACAGG